This 292-nucleotide ribosomal RNA is filed under the name uncultured bacterium. RNAcentral describes it as "partial 16S ribosomal RNA". It matches the Rfam family "Bacterial small subunit ribosomal RNA", at positions 30 to 321 of the family's 1533-position model. The record is from RNAcentral.
AUUGAACGCUGGCGGCAUGCCUUACACAUGCAAGUCGAACGGCAGCACGGGAGCAAUCCUGGUGGCGAGUGGCGAACGGGUGAGUAAUAUAUCGGAACGUGCCCAGUCGUGGGGGAUAACGUAGCGAAAGCUACGCUAAUACCGCAUACGAUCUAUGGAUGAAAGCGGGGGAUCGCAAGACCUCGCGCGAUUGGAGCGGCCGAUAUCAGAUUAGGUAGUUGGUGAGGUAAAGGCUCACCAAGCCGACGAUCUGUAGCUGGUCUGAGAGGACGACCAGUCCACACUGGGACUG